This 74-nucleotide transfer RNA is filed under the name Pandoraea sputorum. RNAcentral describes it as "tRNA-Cys (GCA) (tRNA-Cys-GCA-1-1)". It matches the Rfam family "tRNA". From Rfam's summary of the family: Transfer RNA (tRNA) molecules are approximately 80 nucleotides in length. Their secondary structure includes four short double-helical elements and three loops (D, anti-codon, and T loops). The record is from RNAcentral. RNAcentral also lists the same sequence under 5 other names. Lineage: Bacteria; Pseudomonadati; Pseudomonadota; Betaproteobacteria; Burkholderiales; Burkholderiaceae.
GGCGGGAUAGCAAAAUGGUUAUGCAGCGGCCUGCAAAGCCGUUUACGUCGGUUCGAUUCCGUCUCCCGCCUCCA